UAGGUAUCCUUCAUCUCCCUUGAUGGCCUUUGAAUCACUAUCCUUUCCUCUAAGCCCACUUCAAUUGUUAUCCCCUUCUUUCCAGCUGUUUUGCAACCUUUGGCUGUGAAAGCCUCAUUCACACUUUGUUCCCCUCAUUUGAUGCAUUGAAUAUUUUGCUUCCUAUUACUGUUACUUAUGAUAUUAUAAACUACUUGAGAAGAGAGGCAAUCCCUCUUCAUUUUUUAUUUCCUAAUAAUUAACAUUUACUCAGUGCUUACUAUGUGCUAGGCACUAAGCAAAGUAUUUUAUGUGGAUUAUUUUAUGAUCACAUAACUACAUUAUUCUUAUCCUCAUUUUACAGACGAGAAAACUGAAGCUCAAAGUGCUGAAGGAAUUUGCCCAGAAUGACAUAAUGAGUGUGCAGUGGAGCUCAAGUCACGUCGAGGCUGCCUGAGUGCAGAGCUUGCCAUCUACACUUCGCUACCUCCCUCCUCGUGUGGCAUCUCACGCAUAUGUUUUUCAGGGUUAUUCCUUCCGGUUUGUGAGUUCUAAAAGCAGAAUUUGUGACAGUGGAAAGUUCUCAGUGGAGCUGGGCAUUUCCCUGGAGCCUCUUCCUUACAUCAGCUGCUGCAGGAUGAGGUCACCCAUCUGUCUCCUAACUCCGAAAAGAUUUGUGGCAAAUUUCUACACCAGAUUGCAUUUCUUCUCUACUUUUAACAUUGAAAGCUCCUCUUUCUUCAUUGAACUUCCUUCAAACAUAACGGAAAGACUUGUGUUGCUUCUGGUCUAUGCCAGAGAGAUCUGUUGAAAUAUCCAGACUUCGUGCUUUGAUUUGGAGUCCAAAUAUUUGGUGUGGAGAGAUAAGCUUUAUGUUUAGAAUUAAAUUCACCUUCUGCCCUGGCUAUGCCAGAUGCCACUUUAGACCUUGACCCUUAACUUACUGGGUCUCUCUUUGUGUGUUUUUAUUCCAGUGCCUCGACUUAUUUUUAACUCCCCGAGGGAGCACUGCCAAAGCGUCUGGCUCAGCACUGCUGAGAGCCUGAUCAGUAGAGGAGGGCAGUGGGAAGGAGCGUGAAGAAUCCACACGCUGAAAAUGAGCCCUCGGACAACAGACCUCACUUAAUGCUGGUCUACAAAUGAAUUAUAAAUGUACUCUGAUAUCAAAUGUACUGGAAAAGCUUACCAUUUAAAGAAGUUCAAUGAGAUAUCUUUUGUGCAGUAGUGAGUUUUACAAAUAGGUUUUGCUUUGGACAAGCAAAAUCUAGCACCAUCAUUUAACUUUUUAACAAUUUGUAUUUGUACCUAUUGGGUUUUCUUAAAGAAAGUCUCACCUCUAUUUACUUAGAGGUGAAAGAAGGAAAACUUCAGCACAGAGAUGUAAAGUCUUAAAUUUUUAUGCCUUAAUUUGGCUCCUGAUUAGAAUUAUAUCUGUAUUUGUUCAGUUACGUGAGCUAUCUUACCUCUGGAAAGAAUCUUUGAAAAAUGACAGUUGUAUAUGAGUACUCUUAGAAUGUGAUAGGAUUUGGGGUACAUUCUCCCAAAGUAACUGCACUGCCCUUCUUUUCCUGCUCAGACAACUGGUUGUGGCAUGAAGCUGAAGUGGGGGCCUGGGGGCUCUAGUCUGGCCCAGUAAAGGUAUGGUAUCCCCUCUUGAGAAGACCCCAGGAAAUUAGUUCUUUCCAGUCUGUGUCAUGAGCUAGUCAGCAGUGAUUUUGAAAUAGACCUAAACUCUAGGGUACCUCUCCCUGGCCUGACCUCUAGGGGUGCAUGAGACAAGCUAGCCGAGUGGUUAAGGGCAGACCCUGGAGUAAGAGUGCCUGGCCACCUGGAUUAGGCUGCAGAGCACCGGUGAGGACAGUGCAGCUGCUUCCCCGGGCAGGAACACUUCCGUCCUGGCU
Molecule: long non-coding RNA, 1880 nt
Filed under: Rhinolophus ferrumequinum (greater horseshoe bat)
Lineage: Eukaryota; Metazoa; Chordata; Mammalia; Chiroptera; Rhinolophidae
Description: lncRNA (ENSRFEG00010019922.1)
Source: RNAcentral